This 92-nucleotide transfer RNA is filed under the name Candidatus Levybacteria bacterium RBG_16_35_6. RNAcentral's name for it is "tRNA-Ser". It matches the Rfam family "tRNA". From Rfam's summary of the family: Transfer RNA (tRNA) molecules are approximately 80 nucleotides in length. Lineage: Bacteria; Candidatus Levyibacteriota. The record is from RNAcentral.
GGAGAGAUGCGAGAGCGGUUUAAUCGGGAGGUCUUGAAAACCUUUGUCCCGUUUAUUCGGGACCGUGGGUUCGAAUCCCACUCUCUCCGCCA